Molecule: long non-coding RNA, 1047 nt
Filed under: Sinocyclocheilus grahami
Lineage: Eukaryota; Metazoa; Chordata; Actinopteri; Cypriniformes; Cyprinidae
Description: lncRNA (ENSSGRG00000006094.1)
Source: RNAcentral
GUCAACUCCGAUUCGAAUCGUUCAAACCGGCUUAGCGAACGAAUUCACCCUAUUCGUCGAAAAGAUCCGACUCCGAAGAACGAUUCGUUCACGUUCAGACAUCUCUAGAUGAAAAACACCGCAGCAGUCAGUCCACUCAGCAAGAGCGCGACGUCGUUUUGUCGCGUCGCUUGCUCGGACUGUGUGUGUGUGUGUGUGUGUGUGUCACUUCUCGACGUCGACUGAGAAAAUCUCGCGUGGCUGGCAGCUCUCUCUCGCGCCACCUCCACCAGCAACACACGCACGCCACUUACCAGCACCUCUCUCUUCUUUCACCCGCACCUCCUCCUUUCUCUCUCUCCCUUUGAGUGAGCGAGAGAUCUCCCGAAACCUGAGCGAGGCGGUCCCGGAGACACCAUAGUGGCGAUAUCCUCCAACAUGGCUACAAUUGUAACCUCCACCAGGUUUACAGACGAAUAUCAGCUGUACGAAGAGCUCGGAAAGUAAGCGACCGCACCGCUGCAUCACUCUCUCUCUCUCUCUCUCUCCACUCGCUGCAUUGUGUCUCGUCGUGUUGCCUGGGUCUAGUUCAGUGUGUUGACAGCCGCCUUCACACAGAGGCGGGUCGGUUUUGCAUGUCAGAAGCCAGUGCAGCCUGCUUAACGAAAGCCCGAUUGAGUUGAUUCGAGUAGUUCGGUGUGUUUGUUAAGCCUCGGGUUUCACGAAGCUCGUUUCUUUGUUGAUCUUUAGACGCGUUUCCUAACGUCGUGCUCGCGCGCUACAGGGUGCUUUCGGAGCCUGCGUGUCGUCGUGAUGCGAGAUGCAAUACUCUGUCGACACUUUAUCGACAUGCGGACGGCCAUUCGUUAGAAAGGGAAACACUUAAGGCUGGGGUGCUCGGCUUGGUGAUUUGCGUCCUCGUUUUGAAACUUUUACAGCAUUCAGAAGCAUUAAUCGGAUAUCACUGAUGACUGCUGCCGCGCAGGAUUGAUUGUACGGUUUGCUGCAGACUUGUGUAACGAGAGUUGCGGAAAAUGCUGCAGUUUUGGGCAUCAUAUAUCGCACCGU